This 439-nucleotide ribosomal RNA is filed under the name uncultured bacterium. RNAcentral's name for it is "partial 16S ribosomal RNA". It matches the Rfam family "Bacterial small subunit ribosomal RNA", at positions 339 to 795 of the family's 1533-position model. The record is from RNAcentral.
CUACGGGAGGCUGCAGUGAGGAAUAUUGCACAAUGGAGGAAACUCUGAUGCAGCAACGCCGCGUGGAGGAUGACACUUUUCGGAGCGUAAACUCCUUUUAUAUAGGAAGAAGAUGACGGUACUAUAUGAAUAAGCGCCGGCUAACUCCGUGCCAGCAGCCGCGGUAAUACGGAGGGCGCAAGCGUUACUCGGAAUCACUGGGCGUAAAGAGCGUGUAGGCGGAUUAAAAAGUCAGAAGUGAAAUCCUAUAGCUUAACUAUAGAACUGCUUCUGAAACUCUUAAUCUAGAAUAUGGGAGAGGUAGAUGGAAUUUCUGGUGUAGGGGUAAAAUCCGUAGAGAUCAGAAGGAAUACCGAUUGCGAAGGCGAUCUACUAGAACAUUAUUGACGCUGAGACGCGAAAGCGUGGGGAGCAAACAGGAUUAGAUACCCUAGUAGUC